AAGACCUUACUUCAUAGGAUCAUUUCUAUAGUAAGCGCUUCCUGAGUCUUCCACAAUAUGUGAGACCAGCUCAAACCAGACAUGU
RNAcentral lists this small nucleolar RNA (85 nucleotides) under Operophtera brumata (winter moth). Its description in RNAcentral is "Small nucleolar RNA U3". It matches the Rfam family "Small nucleolar RNA U3", at positions 1 to 93 of the family's 219-position model. From Rfam's summary of the family: Small nucleolar RNAs (snoRNAs) are involved in the processing and modification of rRNA in the nucleolus. There are two main classes of snoRNAs: the box C/D class, and the box H/ACA class. U3 snoRNA is a member of the box C/D class. Lineage: Eukaryota; Metazoa; Arthropoda; Insecta; Lepidoptera; Geometridae. The record is from Rfam by way of RNAcentral.